GCCGAGGUGGCGGAACAGGCAGACGCGCAGGACUUAAAAUCCUGUAGUAGCAAUACUGUGCGGGUUCGAUCCCCGCCCUCGGCACCA
This 87-nucleotide transfer RNA is filed under the name Candidatus Peregrinibacteria bacterium. RNAcentral describes it as "tRNA-Leu". It matches the Rfam family "tRNA". Rfam says of the family: Transfer RNA (tRNA) molecules are approximately 80 nucleotides in length. Their secondary structure includes four short double-helical elements and three loops (D, anti-codon, and T loops). Lineage: Bacteria; Candidatus Peregrinibacteriota. The record is from RNAcentral. RNAcentral also lists the same sequence under 1 other name.